Molecule: non-coding RNA, 163 nt
Organism: Gorilla gorilla gorilla (western lowland gorilla)
Lineage: Eukaryota; Metazoa; Chordata; Mammalia; Primates; Hominidae
Rfam family: Metazoan signal recognition particle RNA
About the family: The signal recognition particle (SRP) is a universally conserved ribonucleoprotein. It is involved in the co-translational targeting of proteins to membranes.
Source: Rfam
CUAGGCCGACCGGGUGUCCGCACUAAGUUUGGCAUCAAUAUGAUGUCCUCCUGGGAGCGGGGGGCCACCAAGUUGCCUAAGGAUGGCUGAACUGGCCCAGGUCAGAAAGGGAGUGGGUCAGAACUCCCGCAUCGACUGGUAGUGGGACUAUGCCUGAUCUUGG